This 412-nucleotide ribosomal RNA is filed under the name uncultured bacterium. RNAcentral's name for it is "bacterial SSU rRNA". It matches the Rfam family "Bacterial small subunit ribosomal RNA", at positions 1 to 411 of the family's 1533-position model. The record is from RNAcentral.
CCCUUAGAGUUUGAUCCUGGCUCAGAACGAACGUUGGCGGCGUGGAUUAGGCAUGCAAGUCGAACGAAUCCCUGGGGGGUAACUCUCAGGGGGAAGUGGCGAAAGGGGCAGUAAGGCAUGGGUAACCUGCCCCGGGGACGGGGAUAGCCAUUCUAACGAGUGGGUAAUACCCGGCGACGUAUCAGGGGGGCAUCCCCCGGUUACCAAAGGAUCCGUCGCCCCGGGAGGGGCUCAUGUGAUAUUAGCUAGUUGGCGGGGUAACGGCCCACCAAGGCGGAGAUGUCUAGCAGGUGUGAGAGCACGACCUGCGCCACUGGCACUGGGACACUGGCCAGACUCCUACGGGAGGCUGCAGUCGAGGAUCUUCGGCAAUGGGCGCAAGCCUGACCGAGCGACGCCGCGUGUGCGACGA